GCUGGGCACAGUGGCCUGUGCCUCUAGUCCCAGCUACUUAGGAGGCGAGGCAGGAAGAUCACUUGGGUCCAAGAGUUCUGGGCUAUAGUGCACUAUGCUAAUCAGAGGUCUGUACUAAGUUCGGCAUCAAUGUGGUGACCUCUCUGGAGUGGGGGACCACCAGGUUGCUUAAGGAGGGGUGAACUGCCCAGGUUGGAAAUGGAGCAGGUCAAAACUCCAUGCUGAUCAGUUGUGGGAUCAUGCCUAUGAAUAGCCACUGCACUCCAGCCUGGGCAAAAUAACAAGACCCCAUCUCA
RNAcentral lists this signal recognition particle RNA (296 nucleotides) under Saimiri boliviensis boliviensis (Bolivian squirrel monkey). RNAcentral's name for it is "Metazoan signal recognition particle RNA (ENSSBOG00000001638.1)". It matches the Rfam family "Metazoan signal recognition particle RNA". Rfam says of the family: The signal recognition particle (SRP) is a universally conserved ribonucleoprotein. The record is from RNAcentral. Lineage: Eukaryota; Metazoa; Chordata; Mammalia; Primates; Cebidae.